Molecule: ribosomal RNA, 466 nt
Filed under: uncultured bacterium
Lineage: Bacteria
Description: partial 16S ribosomal RNA
Rfam family: Bacterial small subunit ribosomal RNA
Source: RNAcentral
GACGAACGCUGGCGGCGCGCCUAACACAUGCAAGUCGAACGAGCGAGAGAGAGCUUGCUUUCUUGAGCGAGUGGCGAACGGGUGAGUAACGCGUGAGGAACCUGCCUCAAAGAGGGGGACAACAGUUGGAAACGACUGCUAAUACCGCAUAAGCCCACGGUGCCGCAUGGCACAGAGGGAAAAGGAGCAAUCCGCUUUGAGAUGGCCUCGCGUCCGAUUAGCUAGUUGGUGAGGUAACGGCCCACCAAGGCGACGAUCGGUAGCCGGACUGAGAGGUUGAACGGCAACAUUGGGACUGAGACACGGCCCAGACUCCUACGGGAGGCAGCAGUGGGGAAUAUUGCACAAUGGGGGAAACCCUGAUGCAGCGACGCCGCGUGGAGGAAGAAGGUCUUCGGAUUGUAAACUCCUGUUGUUGGGGAAGAUAGUGACGGUACCCAACAAGGAAGUGACGGCUAACUACGUG